GUAACGCGUGAGUAACCUGCCUUUCANAGGGGGAUAACGUUCUGAAAAGAAACGCUAAUACCGCAUGAGACUACAGAGCUGCAUGGCUCAGUGGUCAAAGGAGCAAUCCGCUGAAAGAUGGACUCGCGUCCGAUUAGAUAGUAGGCGGGGUAACGGCCCACCUAGUCGACGAUCGGUAGCCGGACUGAGAGGUUGAACGGCCACAUUGGGACUGAGACACGGCCCAGACUCCUACGGGAGGCAGCAUG
This 248-nucleotide ribosomal RNA is filed under the name uncultured bacterium. RNAcentral describes it as "partial 16S ribosomal RNA". It matches the Rfam family "Bacterial small subunit ribosomal RNA", at positions 110 to 353 of the family's 1533-position model. The record is from RNAcentral.